AACGCCGCGUGAGUGAUGAAGGUUUUCGGAUCGUAAAACUCUGUUGUUAGGGAAGAACAAGUACCGUUCGAAUAGGGCGGUACCUUGACGGUACCUAACCAGAAAGCCACGGCUAACUACGUGCCAGCCACUUCGGUGACUGAGCGGGCUGGCAAGGCGCAUA
Molecule: ribosomal RNA, 163 nt
Filed under: uncultured bacterium
Lineage: Bacteria
Description: partial 16S ribosomal RNA
Rfam family: Bacterial small subunit ribosomal RNA
Source: RNAcentral